GACGAACGCUGGCGGCGUGCUUAACACAUGCAAGUCGAACGGAAAGGCCCUGCUUUUGUGGGUUUCUCGAUUGGCGAACGGGUGAGUAACACGUGAGUAACCUGCCCUUGACUUUGUGAUAACUUCAGGAAACUGGGGCUAAUACCGGAUAGGAUCUCCUGCUGCAUGUUGGGGGUUGGAAAGUUUCGGCGGUUGGGGAUGGACUCGCGGCUUAUCAGCUUGUUGGUGUGGUAGUGGCUUACCAAGGCUUUGACGGGUAGCCGGCCUGAGAGGGUGACCGGCCACAUUGGGACUGAGAUACGGACCAGAAUCCUACGGGAGGCAGCAGUGGGGAAUAUUGCACAAUGGGCGGAAGCCUGAUGCAGCAACGCCGCGUGCGGGAUGACGGCCUUCGGGUUGUAAACCGAUUUCGAAUGUGACGAAGCGUGAGUGACGGUAAUGGGUAAAGAAGCACCGGCUAACUACGUG
RNAcentral lists this ribosomal RNA (468 nucleotides) under uncultured bacterium. RNAcentral's name for it is "partial 16S ribosomal RNA". It matches the Rfam family "Bacterial small subunit ribosomal RNA", at positions 28 to 507 of the family's 1533-position model. The record is from RNAcentral.